ACGGUUCCAGGAAAGUAUGUACCGGAGUUUUAGUGUUGAAAACCCAUGGCUGUGGUCCCAACAAUAUCAACUAAAUAUUUUGCAAAACUAAUAUUAUUUAUUUAAAACCAAAACAAGUUGUACUUUUGAAGAAUCGUGUGCCCAUUUCAUGUGUAUACUACAUCUUAAAAAACAAAAAAACUUCAGAAAAUAUGUUUCAACCUAUAAAAAACUUGAAAGGAAGAAGAGACUUCAUGAUCUGGUCGCCUUUCCUUUGUAGAACAUGUGCAGCAGGGGUGACAGUAUGCUUCUCUCCAACUCACUCUGCAAGCAGCACCUCCCUCCCCUUUUCUCUCUCUGCUGCUCACCCAGGCACCCCUCUCCCCUUCCCUAUUCUGCCACAGAAUCAUUGAGAGCAGCUCAUGAUGGCGGAUCUGUGGACAUUUUUCACCUAGCUGAUAAGGACACUGCCACAUGGGAUGUGUGCAGGAAAGUCAUUGGCCAAUGUGGAACACCAGCAAUUUACACAAACAUAUAAAAGCAGUUCAUCUUCGAGAGAACUCGAGAGCUGCAAAAGCAGUUGAGAAAGGGGGUGGUCGCCAAACCAGAUCCCCGAGGUCACUGGCAGAUGCUCUUCAGCCCGAAAUCAGGAAUAUCCAGGAAACGGAUGAAGUGGUCCGGGACUGGAACGCACCAACCGUAAGGGGAAGGUUGACAGGUAAGUUGGGAGAAUUUUCCAAGUAAGAAUAUCUUUAUAAGUUAGGCUGAUUUGCUUACUGGUAAGUGAAUGAGAUCCACCAGGGAGGGGGUUAACGAUUGGGGUCCGAGAGUGUGGACGAGGCACUGGAGCUCUGGGGAACAAGGUAAGUGGUUUGUUGGUAGCGUGAUGACCAUGGGAGUCUUUACCACUGAGGUCGAGGGCUCGCCAGUUAGUGAAGUUACUUGCACAACACAGAUUCCUGGUGGUGGCUUGCCAGUGGUGGAACGUGGUGGGAGGGUUUGCGCGGCGGAGGGUGAGCAAGGUUCGGUUCCGGAGGCCAGUAAUGUCUGAGGAGGCUUGAGGCUGUUAGCUGGAGCUUGAUCCGAGGAGGAUUACUUGGAGACUUGGAAUCUUGGACCAUCAAGAGUGGUAAGCUUGAGAUCUUGAACCGGGACUUGGAGAUACCUGGAAGGA
This is a long non-coding RNA of Girardinichthys multiradiatus, 1153 nucleotides long. RefSeq lists it as uncharacterized. The record is from RefSeq and is a predicted model, not a curated record. The transcript has 2 exons. Lineage: Eukaryota; Metazoa; Chordata; Actinopteri; Cyprinodontiformes; Goodeidae.